AGCUUUGCGCAGUGGCAGCAUCGUAGCCAAUGAGGUUUAUCCGAGGCGCGAUUAUUGCUAGUUGAAAAAUGGUCUCACAUACCACGUACAUAUUAUAAGUAUUUGGAAAUCAUUAUGGUUAAUGA
Molecule: small nuclear RNA, 125 nt
Organism: Tupaia belangeri (northern tree shrew)
Lineage: Eukaryota; Metazoa; Chordata; Mammalia; Scandentia; Tupaiidae
Gene: U4
Rfam family: U4 spliceosomal RNA
About the family: U4 small nuclear RNA (U4 snRNA) is a component of the major U2-dependent spliceosome. The structure of U4 snRNA from yeast and human has been reported.
Source: Ensembl